This is a long non-coding RNA of Colossoma macropomum (tambaqui), 5175 nucleotides long. RefSeq lists it as uncharacterized. Lineage: Eukaryota; Metazoa; Chordata; Actinopteri; Characiformes; Serrasalmidae. The record is from RefSeq and is a predicted model, not a curated record. The transcript is spliced from 2 exons.
AGUUUGACUUUGACCUUUUCUCACUGCACACAGCAGUGAAGCGCUCUCUCUCUCUUACGCUCUCUCUUUCUAUCUCUUUAUCAGUGUCAGCUUUGUCGGUGUGGUAAAGAAUCUUGGAAUUCAUGCAGAUUUAUUAUCAAAGCCAGUUGUAUAUGAUUUAUUUCAGCGUGUUUGUGCAGCUGUCACACUGAGUGUGGUCAGGUGCACUCUAGCUACUUUUUUCACAUAAAGGAAGUCGACUACUUUUUUCACAUAAAGGAAGUCGACUACUAAACAUUAACACUGUUAUGUAAUAACACUAGUUACUCCAAAUGUACUCUGCUCCUGCCAAAGCAACAUUACUACCACAAAACCUGCUCGUUUAUUUAGGGUAAUUCGGUGAGGUUAUCAGUCUCAUAAUGUCAGGUUAUUGUAUGGCAGUGUUCGCUCACAUGUGGCAAAAUCAUAUUUUGGCUUCUUAAUGGCUCCUUUGUAGUUCAGAGGCUUGUUUAACAUUCAGUGGACAUAUGUACAUAGGACGAUCGCAGUGAUUUUCAAAAAUCACGUUCAGUUUUGUUAUAGAGAAUCCAACUCCUCAUAUGGGCAUGAUGCCAUCUCCAGAACGAUGCACAAAUUGAAAGGUCUGUUUGGUAGCCUAUACAUCAAUGGUCGAGACCGCCACAUGACUAUUGCAGAGUAUUAUUUGAGUGGUGAAUCAUGCUCAGCACUGCAGUGACACUGACAGGGUAGUGACAUGGUAAUAAAAGUGCAUCAUACACAGCAGUGUUACUGGAUUUUUUUGAUAGCUGGACUGAGAAUAGUCCACCAACCAAAAAUAUAAAGCCAAUAGCAUCUUAUGGCCAGAAACUGAUCAUUGAUGAAAGACUAGAGGAUAACUAACACCAACUGUGUAGCACCAGAUGAGCGGUCUUCUUUAAUUUUACAUCUUCAAGGUGCAGCAAAAGUUGUGUGUCUAAUAAAGUGGGCAGUAAGUGGUCACAGUGUUUGAAAGCUUAUUCACUUAUUCACUUAACACUUAUUAACAUCACUACCGUAUCAGUGUUAUUCAGAAUGAUCAUCCGCCCAAAUAAUACCUCCUCUGUGGUGGUCCUGUGGGCGUUGUGACCCUUGAUGAAAGGAGUAAUGGGGCUAACAAAUUAUGGAAAGAAAUUAAUUGCAGAACUGCAACAUGCACAUAUAUGGUAAGUAGACCUGAUAAAAUGAACAACAACUACGUUUUGGUGCACACAGAUGGUUCGAUAUUAGCUGAAAGUGAUAGUCUAACUGAGCUAUGAUUGUGCAAACAGUGUGGUUUGAUUGUUGUAGUCCAACUGAGGUCUUUGUUGACCUGAGCUUAGUCCAAUUAAAACAUGCGGUCCAGGCUGGUACUGGCCAGGCUAUUUGUGACAAAUCUGAACAUGUAAGUGCUUAAAACGUUCCACUAACUUGCACAAGGAGUUUUUUGCGAGUUUUUCUGGGGUACAGCUUAUUAUACACAUGGGAACUAAACUCUGGAAAGUAGAUCUCCAAGAGGAGAGUUGGUGACUACUGGCCCGUGAUACAUUUUGAUAAUGCUUAAUAACAUCUACCUUUUUUAAUGGUACCAACUUUUUUAGAUAUGAAAAAAGCACAUUUAAUAAACCGAAAAAAAGAUUAUUUAAGGAGUUAAUACCAGUUAGGUGUACCUUAUAAAGUGGGCUGCGAAUGUGAAAGUUUCAACUUAACAAAACUCUUUGCUCCACAUGUGGAAUAUGAGUCCUCAUUGUGCAAUUUCCCAGCCACAGGUGUGCAGUUCUCAUCGGAUUGUAGAAGUGUAGGCAGGUGUUAGUGUGCAUGUGUCUGAGUGGCACAGCUCCAAAAAUAAACCCCAUCUUGCUCAUUUUGCAUUCGACGGAGAGCGUUUCCUCACUGACACACCAAAACGACCAGAACAUUUCCCGCCACAGCUACAUUCGUGCUGUCCAGCUGCUGCCAUUCAGCUUAAUGAAUAUUUCAGGCCGUCUCGGGACCAUGAAAUGAAGACUGAUUUCUAUUUGCUCUGCUGUUGGUACUAGACUGGCGUUUAGUUUUUUCUUUUUUUUUCGUUUGGUGACGGUGAAGGAAACGCUGGCGCAGAACAGGGUGUGUCCUCCCCACCCGACUGCCGGAUAUGACCACAUCUUCCUAUUUUUAUUUUUUUUGUGGUCUAAGGCCUUUUCUGUAUUGAUUCUCUUUUUUUCAAGGUGGAACAUGGCUGCACUUUCAAAAGAAAGUCACAUGUUACCGUUUAGAUCUCUAUGUUCGUCUCAGGCACUUUGAAAUCUGGCAGUACUAUUUUUAGCAGGUUCUCUCUUUUUCCAUAAAAUUGAGUUGAGGCUGCAAGUCAGUAUUAGAGCAGGGUGGCUGUAGACCAGGCUGUGUCUGCCUGCCCCUUUGGCUCAUUGCCUGAUUACUGAUCCACAUCUGCAGUCUAGUGAAGCUUGCAGGUGAGGCCUUAUCAGUGCCCAAGAUAGCUGCCUUCCAGCCUUCUGGAAGCCCUGACAACUCUCACAGGGCUGCACAAUGUCUGAUUGGUUAACCGUUAUCAUGAUAUUAGCCUUUGCAAUACUGAUAGUGAUAGUAUUUUAUUGUAGUGGAGGUUAUUUUGGACUUAAUCUCAUUUUGGCUAAACCAUGUUGCAUUAUAGAUUCAUCAGUUUGUAUAUUGCAAAGCAUGUCACAUGAGUUGUUUAGUAACCAUGUUGCACAGCCUUGCUCUGUCACUUUGAUUGAUACUGAGUUGGGCUGUAAUGAAUAUUCUAUAAAAUUUGAUGAACAUGAUCAUUACAAAUUCAAAAAAGGGGGGAUGCCAUUUGAAUAACCAGAGUAACUUUUACCCAUUUUUAAGACACCACUCUUCUCCGUGCACCUGUUUUUGUUAGUGUGAUGGGAAACAAACUUCAGUUUAUCAAGCUAAACUCCAGCCAGUCACUAGUAGCCCAUAUAGCAAUGUAUUUAAAGAGAACGAGAGAAUCACGUCAUACAAAACGGGUUUAUGGAGGGCCUUUUUCCACGUGAGUCAAAUGGUCCUUUCUUGUCAAAGCAAGUUGUUUCCUGCCAUGUUGAUAUCUCUGCAAUAGUCAGAGGUACAAGUUCCUAACUGUAUGUGUUGGAGCUCUAAUUUUAGGUUUUAAUGUCAGUCUUAAUCCCCUGGAUUAACAUGUUAUGCUACUUGCUAAGACAGUAAUUGUUUAUUAGUGAUGUUUUUCUAGUUCACCUAGAUUACCUAGUAUAAUGGUAGUAUAUUCAGUUUAUUAACAAAGCUUAAAUAAAAAAGAAAACAAGGAAGACGCAACAGGGGUUAUAGGAAAGGCCAAAAAAACAGAAGAGCACCUUAAAUUUUGGUACAUGGCCCCCUGAAUGCCCCUGCUUUUGGCAUUGCCUGAGAUUAUUGGCAAACAGAGUGGAAACUGGAAGUUUUCCUGUGUUGGCGCUAUGUACGUGACUCUAUAAGCUUGGUUUGAAUCAGGAAAUGCAUAGGGGUUUAGGGUGGUGAACGUGGUUUUUACUGUAACAGGAUCCGUCCAGCCUGCUUCCGUACCACAUGCGUACAGUUGUGCUUUCUUUGGCAUCUGAAACCUUGCUUCAGCAUUUUCCUUCAUACAUCCAACAGUUCUGCUCUAAAUAUAGUAGCCCAAGAUUACCAUGGAAACUUAACCAACCCUGUGGUUUAAUUUGAAAUGGUAGCAUGCUGUUGUAAUGGGCAGUGCAGGAGGGAGAAAAUAGUUUUGGUAAUGUAGAGGAAUGCAGGGAAAUCCAGUUGCUGACUCAUGUGUCAAAUAAGGAUAGACACAUCAGACGUCUCAGCAAGGGGGCCAGCUUUGUCUCAGCAAGUGUUCCAUGUCAUUUGUAGGGCUUGUCAUGCAUCAGUCUUUGUUUUCUCUUGGGUAAGAACCUGUGGGUGCCAGAGCGUGCUUCAUAUGCCUAACCACCUGCCCCCCUCACACACAUGCAUACUCAUACCCACACAUGCUCAGCACCCAACCACCCCCCACCCAUCUCUGCUCACGCAGAGCAUGCCCAGUGUGGGAGUGGUAAGCAGGUGGCUUCUAGUGGAAAAAUUGCGCAUUUGUUGCAGCACGUCAAACAGGAUAGUCUGGGGACUACCUGCCGGAUGCAAUUUGGGCUCUUCAGGUGGAUGGAAGGCCGAAAUGGAAUUGCUCAGAGACGCUGAUGUGAUGUGCCAUCAGGCCAGGCUCAUGCCGUGCCGCUGACAUCUGCCCGCAGUGCAGGGACCCCCACCCACCCUUCAUUCCAUACCCCAGUACCUCAGCCAGUCGUGUUGGCCUGUUCCUAGAAACGGACCCUGUAACAGAGAGUGAUUUGUUAGAAGACUCCAUGCUGUUCGGAAACAGGCCGGAGCGUUUAAUCCGGUUUCAGGUUCACUGACUUGUCUGAUGGCAGCAUGCUCUUGCUCGGUGGUGGACUGGCCUGGCUCUCGUGGUUUGGGUUAACAAUAAAGAUUUUUAGACAUAUCCAGUGCCACCCACUAGUCAGAACUCCUCUAAUCACACGAUACCACCAGCGCUAGGAGGGCGAAAGCCUGCGCAGGCUUUCUGUGAGAUGAAGAAGCCACCACAUCUUUUCGAACUGCCGCUAACACAGUGUCAUUGGACAGCUGACUGCAUUCUGAGGAAAGCGCCAACUGCUAGUUCUGUUAUAUCAGCUAACAGAUGUGUGCGCUGGCUAGCGUUGCGGUGUGUGAUGGGAGGGGACAGGGGAUCUGUCCGACCCACCACCCAAGAGUGAGGCCAGUUGUUCUCUCUUGGACUCCCAGCCACGGAUGUCUGUAGCAUUACAGGGAUCCUGAUGAUAGGGUCAGCGCUUAGACGGUUAUGCCACUCAGGAGCCCUACUGGUAGUUUUUAAAUGGGGCCCUACUAGGUAUUGUAUGUUUGUGUCACAACAUUGUGAUACGUAUCAUGUGUCGUGAAAAUGUCAAUGCCUGUUUUUGUUUGUGUCUGUACCAUUUUCACUGGGAAUGAAUGAAACUGAAAAGUGAUGUUAUAUACAUAUCAUCACUCUCAUAAACUUUUGAAAAGGUAACUUUUAUAGAAGGGAGAACAACCUUUCAGUUAAAGUUAAUGUAAGAACAUUUUAUUCCAAGAAAUCCUGGGCCAUAGAGGAGCUCAUAAUUUGCAGUGGUAUAUAAAAAUAAACAAUAAAAAAUGCUGUUAAGA